Molecule: ribosomal RNA, 349 nt
Filed under: uncultured bacterium
Lineage: Bacteria
Description: bacterial SSU rRNA
Rfam family: Bacterial small subunit ribosomal RNA
Source: RNAcentral
GGACCCGCACAAGUAGUGGAGCAUGUGGUUUAAUUCGAUGAUACGCGAGGAACCUUACCAGGGCUUAAAUGUAGUGGGACAGGUCUAGAGAUAGACCCUUCUUCGGACUCAUUACAAGGUGCUGCAUGGUUGUCGUCAGCUCGUGCCGUGAGGUGUCAGGUUAAGUCCUAUAACGAGCGCAACCCCUAUCGUUAGUUGCCAGCGAGUAAUGUCGGGAACUCUAACGAAACUGCCGGUGCAAACCGAGAGGAAGGUGGGGAUGACGUCAAAUCAUCACGGCCCUUACGUCCUGGCUACACACGUGCUACAAUGGUCGGUACAGAGAGCAGCCACUACGCGAGUAGGAGCG